Molecule: non-coding RNA, 135 nt
Organism: Meira miltonrushii
Lineage: Eukaryota; Fungi; Basidiomycota; Exobasidiomycetes; Exobasidiales; Brachybasidiaceae
Source: the annotation of a RefSeq genome assembly
GCCCGUGUAGCUCAGUGGUUUAGAGUGGCUCCCUCCUAUUGAUUGUGAGUGAUUGAAUCAUCAGUUGCUCACAGGCGGAGGACAUUCACAACAGAGUCAAGGAGAUGGUCCUGGGUUCGAAUCCCAGCUCGGGCU